GACGAACGCUGGCGGCGUGCUUAACACAUGCCAGUCGAGCGGUAAGGCUCCUUCGGGAGUACACGAGCGGCGAACGGGUGAGUAACACGUGAGUAAUCUGCCCUUCACUUCGGGAUAACCACCGGAAACGGUGGCUAAUACCGAAUACGACCAGUCUUCGCAUGAGGUGCUGGUGGAAAGUCUUUUCGGUGAAGGAUGUGCUCGCGGCCUAUCAGCUUGUUGGUGGGGUAAUGGCCUACCAAGGCUUCGACGGGUAGCCGGCCUGAGAGGGUGACCGGCCACACUGGGACUGAGACACGGCCCAGACUCCGACGGGAGGCAGCAGUGGGGAAUAUUGGACAAUGGGCGAAAGCCUGAUCCAGCAACGCCGCGUGAGGGAUGACGGCCUUCGGGUUGUAAACCUCUUUCAGUACCGACGAAGCGCCCUGUCGGGUGGUGACGGUAGGUACAGAAGAAGGACCGGCCAACUACGUG
This 474-nucleotide ribosomal RNA is filed under the name uncultured bacterium. RNAcentral's name for it is "partial 16S ribosomal RNA". It matches the Rfam family "Bacterial small subunit ribosomal RNA", at positions 28 to 507 of the family's 1533-position model. The record is from RNAcentral.